GGUUGCGAUCAUACCAGCACUAAUGCACCGGAUCCCAUCAGAACCCCGUAGGUAAGCGUGCUUGGGCGAGAGUAGUACUAGGAUGGGUGACCCCCUGGGAAGUCCUCGUUUUGCAACCC
This 119-nucleotide ribosomal RNA is filed under the name Helianthus annuus (common sunflower). Lineage: Eukaryota; Viridiplantae; Streptophyta; Magnoliopsida; Asterales; Asteraceae. The record is from RNAcentral.